RNA transcript from Manihot esculenta (cassava), 1777 nucleotides. It is a transcript of the gene named BRAP2 RING ZnF UBP domain-containing protein 2-like, with no coding region annotated. NCBI's taxonomy places the organism in Eukaryota, Viridiplantae, Streptophyta, Magnoliopsida, Malpighiales, Euphorbiaceae. The record is from RefSeq and is a predicted model, not a curated record. The transcript is spliced from 4 exons.
GAUGUGUGAAAACUGAUAUUAUUAAAAUUUUCAAGAAACAAUCACUUGUUUACUUUGAACUUGUCGUUUAUUUUCCGCCUUUCUUUUUUGAAUUGCAUUAUUUAGAUAUUAUAUAUAUAUAUAUUUUCAACGGCGUGGCACGCUACUAUUGGAUGACCACCGGCGUACUUGGGAUAGUGUGUUUUAUAAUCCUUCCCUGCUAACAAACCACGCCAAUAAUCUCUCGUUUGUUAUCGAAUGUAACUGACAUGUCUCUGAGCUCCAGCGCUGUAGUCUCCCUAGCUUCGCUGGAGGACCAUUCUCGUGUAUCGGAAGCGAUGAUCACCGGAGAUUAUAGCGACUGCUACACGUCUUUACCGUCUUCAAUUGCUCAGACCUUUCCUUUCUCAUCUGGAAAUCCUAGGAUAGAAGAGACGCGAGGAGUCAUGCGCCUCUUCUCCAAUGACGACGUUUCCGGUCUUCCUGAAGACAAUUGUUGUGUGCUUUUUAUAGUUGAUAUACAGUUCACUGGUUAUAGCGGUUCACUUGACACUCAGCCUUCCCCAGCAAGCACAACUGAGCAGCCUUCAUGUCCAGUUUGUCUUGAGAAAUUAGACUAAGACAUGGGUGGAAUUCUCACAACUAUCUGUAAUCAAUCAUUCAUUUUACUGCUCCUGCAUUUCAAAAUGGGAAGAUUCUUCUUGUCCAGCAAGUGAUUAUGACUGUUUUUGUACUUCAUGUUCAUUGCAAUGGUGCUAUAAAAUACUAUGAGAAUGAUUUCAUGGCUUAUAUAAUUUUAAUUAGACCCUUCCGUUUGAUGCCACGUGUUCUGUGGCAAAAUAUUGUGGGCUUUGCAUGACAACUGAAAUUACUUGUUUUGUUGCCUACAAGGCUGCAACUACAAAAUAUUAGAGUAUCCAGGCUAAAAUAAUCAGCAAAUAUCUGAAAGAAAUAUAAACUAGGUUUUUGUUGAAAUUAAACUGACAUACUAAGUGCAUGUCUUCAUUUUAUGUUUGCCGAUACUGCCAGCAACAACCUGAAAAAUCAAUAUGUUUUGUAUGUCAAACUUCUGAAAAUCUAUGGCUUUGUGUUAUUUGUGGUUUUGUUGGCUAUGGGAGGUAUACAGGAGGACUUGCCACAAGCAUUGGAAAGAAACACAAUAUUGCUAUUCACUUGAACUAGAAACAUAGUGCAUUUGAGAUUAUGUUGGUGACAACUAUGUUCAUCGGUUGAUUCAAUAAAAAACUGAUGAAAAACUAAUUGAAUUGAAUUCCCAUUGUGUGCAUGCUAAUGAUGGUUGUAGAAGUUGUGACUGUGUAAACUCUGGAAUUAGUGAAGCUCUUUUGAACAACAAGGUUGAAGCGGUAAUAUUUUCUACAUUCUACGGGUAAAGUUCUUGUAAUUUCAUUGUUUCGCUGUCCUAUGUUUUGCAAUAAUUCGCUUGGAAUUAUUUGCAGAUGGUUAAUGCUCCUAGCCACCUAACUUUUGAACCAAAAACUAGUUUAAGUGUUUUCCAUUUUCCACGAUCGGAUGAGUUAGUGGUGGAGCCUGGUUUUGAGCUUUAGCUUGUUUUUUUCACUGUGACAUAAUCAUCAUUUCUCCUAUGGCUGUGCUAAACUACUAUUAUAAACAAAUAAGAGAUAUACACUAUCCUACAAUACAUAGAUACAGUUUCAGUUUUUGAAUGAAUGCAUAUGUUCUUUUGAAAUCAUUUCGAGACUUUGCUUCAUGAAGUUAAAGAAGAAACUGAAAGGGAAAUUUCAAAAGCAGUUAAGAAGGCUGUUACACACAAGUUGCA